ACGGUCCUAAGGUAGCGAAAUUCCUUGUCAGGUAAGUUCUGACCCGCACGAAAGGUGUAAUGAUUUGGGCACUGUCUCGGCAGCAGACUCGGUGAAAUCUUAGUACCUGUGAAGAUGCAGGUUACCCGCAACUAGACGGAAAGACCCCAUGGAGCUUUACUGUAGUCUGCUAUUGAGUUUCGGUUAAGUAUGCACAGGAUAGGUGGGAGACGAUGAGACUGGUCUUUCGGGAUCAGAGGAGUCACUGUUGGGAUACCACUCUUACUUAAUUGAAAUUCUAACUCUAAGCCGUGAUCCGGCUAGAGGACCGUGGCAGAUGGGCAGUUUGACUGGGGCGGUCGCCUCCCAAAGAGUAACGGAGGCGCACAAAGGUACUCUCAGAAUGGUUGGAAAUCAUUCAACGAGCGCAAACGCAGAAGAGUGCUUGACUGCGAGACAAACAAGUCGAGCAGGGACGAAAGUCGGUGUUAGUGAUCCGGCGGUGCAGAAUGGAAUGGCCGUCGCUUAACGGAUAAAAGCUACCCUGGGGAUAACAGGCUGAUCUCCCCCAAGAGUUCACAUCGACGGGGAGGUUUGGCACCUCGAUGUCGGCUCAUCGCAUCCUGGGGCUGUAGUCGGUCCCAAGGGUUGGGCUGUUCGCCCAUUAAAGCGGUACGCGAGCUGGGUUCAGAACGUCGUGAGACAGUUCGGUCCCUAUCUGUUGUGGGCGUUGGAAAUUUGAGGAGAGCUGCCCCUAGUACGAGAGGACCAGGGUGGACGUUCCUACGGUGCACCAGUUGUCACGCCAGUGGCAUAGCUGGAUAGCUGAGAACGGACCGGAUAAACGCUGAAGGCAUCUAAGCGUGAAACCGACUCCAAGAUUAGAUUUCCCAUCAUUUCAAAUGAAUAAGACCCCUUGAAGACGACGAGGUUGAUAGGUCAGAGAUGUAAGUGUAGCGAUACAUUCAGUUGACUGAUACUAAUAGGUCGAAGAUUUAUUCAC
RNAcentral lists this ribosomal RNA (982 nucleotides) under human oral metagenome. RNAcentral describes it as "bacterial LSU rRNA". It matches the Rfam family "Bacterial large subunit ribosomal RNA", at positions 1945 to 2925 of the family's 2925-position model. The record is from RNAcentral.